RNAcentral lists this ribosomal RNA (465 nucleotides) under Vreelandella stevensii. RNAcentral's name for it is "partial 16S ribosomal RNA". It matches the Rfam family "Bacterial small subunit ribosomal RNA", at positions 338 to 795 of the family's 1533-position model. The record is from RNAcentral. Lineage: Bacteria; Pseudomonadati; Pseudomonadota; Gammaproteobacteria; Oceanospirillales; Halomonadaceae.
CCUACGGGGGGCAGCAGUGGGGAAUAUUGGACAAUGGGGGGAACCCUGAUCCAGCCAUGCCGCGUGUGUGAAGAAGGCCCUCGGGUUGUAAAGCACUUUCAGUGAGGAAGAACGCCUGGUGGUUAAUACCCAUCAGGAAAGACAUCACUCACAGAAGAAGCACCGGCUAACUCCGUGCCAGCAGCCGCGGUAAUACGGAGGGUGCGAGCGUUAAUCGGAAUUACUGGGCGUAAAGCGCGCGUAGGUGGCUUGAUAAGCCGGUUGUGAAAGCCCCGGGUUCAACCUGGGAACGGCAUCCGGAACUGGCAAGCUAGAGUGCAGGAGAGGAAGGUAGAAUUCCCGGUGUAGCGGUGAAAUGCGUAGAGAUCGGGAGGAAUACCAGUGGCGAAGGCGGCCUUCUGGACUGACACUGACACUGAGGUGCGAAAGCGUGGGUAGCAAACAGGAUUAGAUACCCUAGUAGUC